RNAcentral lists this ribosomal RNA (253 nucleotides) under uncultured bacterium. RNAcentral's name for it is "partial 16S ribosomal RNA". It matches the Rfam family "Bacterial small subunit ribosomal RNA", at positions 524 to 776 of the family's 1533-position model. The record is from RNAcentral.
UACGUAGGGUGCAAGCGUUGUCCGGAAUCACUGGGCGUAAAGCGCACGUAGGCGGACUCUUAAGUCGGUGGUGAAAUCCUGGAGCUCAACUCCAGAACUGCCUUCGAUACUGAGAGUCUCGAGUCCGGGAGAGGUGAGUGGAACUGCGAGUGUAGAGGUGAAAUUCGUAGAUAUUCGCAAGAACACCAGUGGCGAAGGCGGCUCACUGGCCCGGUACUGACGCUGAGGUGCGAAAGCGUGGGGAGCAAACAGG